AGAGUUUGAUCCUGGCUCAGGACGAACGCUGGCGGCGUGCUUAACACAUGCAAGUCGAACGAUGAACCAGGAGCUUGCUCUUGGGGAUUAGUGGCGAACGGGUGAGUAACACGUGAGUAACCUGCCCUGGACUCUGGGAUAACCCCGAGAAAUCGGAGCUAAUACCGGAUAGGACCUGGAACCGCAUGGUUUUGGGUGGAAAGUUUUUUCGGUCUGGGAUGGACUCGCGGCCUAUCAGCUUGUUGGUGAGGUAAUGGCUCACCAAGGCGUCGACGGGUAGCCGGCCUGAGAGGGUGACCGGCCACACUGGGACUGAGACACGGCCCANACUCCUACGGGAGGCAGCAGUGGGGAAUAUUGCACAAUGGGCGAAAGCCUGAUGCAGCAACGCCGCGUGAGGGAUGACGGCCUUCGGGUUGUAAACCUCUUUUAGUAGGGAAGAAGGGCUUCGGCUUGACGGUACCUGCAGAAAAAGCACCGGCUAACUACGUGCCAGCAGCCGCGGUAAUACGUAGGGUGCGAGCGUUGUCCGGAAUUAUUGGGCGUAAAGAGCUCGUANGCGGUUUGUCACGUCUGCUGUGAAAUCCCGAGGCUCAACCUCGGGCCUGCAGUGGGUACCGGCAGACUGGAAGUGCGGUAGGGGAGAUUGGAAUUCCUGGUGUAGCGGUGGAAUGCGCANAUAUCANGAGGA
Molecule: ribosomal RNA, 691 nt
Filed under: uncultured bacterium
Lineage: Bacteria
Description: bacterial SSU rRNA
Rfam family: Bacterial small subunit ribosomal RNA
Source: RNAcentral